RNAcentral lists this ribosomal RNA (271 nucleotides) under uncultured bacterium. RNAcentral describes it as "partial 16S ribosomal RNA". It matches the Rfam family "Bacterial small subunit ribosomal RNA", at positions 524 to 794 of the family's 1533-position model. The record is from RNAcentral.
UACGGAGGGAGCUAGCGUUGUUCGGAAUUACUGGGCGUAAAGCGCGCGUAGGCGGUUUUUUAAGUCAGAGGUGAAAGCCCAGUGCUCAACACUGGAACUGCCUUUGAAACUGGAAAACUUGAAUCUUGGAGAGGUCAGUGGAAUUCCGAGUGUAGAGGUGAAAUUCGUAGAUAUUCGGAAGAACACCAGUGGCGAAGGCGACUGACUGGACAAGUAUUGACGCUGAGGUGCGAAAGCGUGGGGAGCAAACAGGAUUAGAUACCCGUGUAGU